AUUGAACGCUGGCGGCAUGCCUUACACAUGCAAGUCGAACGGUAACGGGCCUUCGGGUGCCGACGAGUGGCGAACGGGUGAGUAAUACAUCGGAACGUGCCCGAUCGUGGGGGAUAACGAGGCGAAAGCUUUGCUAAUACCGCAUACGAUCUACGGAUGAAAGCCGGGGACCGGAAGGCCUUGCGCGGACGGAGCGGCCGGUGGCAGGUGAGGUAGUUGGUGGGAUAAAAGCUUACCAAGCCGGCGAUCUGUAGCUGGUCUGAGAGGAGGAUCAGCCACACUGGGACUGAGACACGGCCCAGAGUCCUACGGGAGGCAGCAGUGGGGAAUUUUGGACAAUGGGCGCAAGCCUGAUCCAGCCAUGCCGCGUGCAGGAUGAAGGCCUUCGGGUUGUAAACUGCUUUUGUACGGAACGAAAAGCCUUCUUUUAAUACAGGAGGGUCAUGACGGUACCGUAAGAAUAAGCACCGGCUAACUACGUG
Molecule: ribosomal RNA, 482 nt
Filed under: uncultured bacterium
Lineage: Bacteria
Description: partial 16S ribosomal RNA
Rfam family: Bacterial small subunit ribosomal RNA
Source: RNAcentral